RNAcentral lists this ribosomal RNA (468 nucleotides) under uncultured bacterium. Its description in RNAcentral is "partial 16S ribosomal RNA". It matches the Rfam family "Bacterial small subunit ribosomal RNA", at positions 28 to 507 of the family's 1533-position model. The record is from RNAcentral.
GACGAACGCUGGCGGCGUGCUUAACACAUGCAAGUCGAACGGAAAGGCCCUGCUUUUGUGGGGUGCUCGAGUGGCGAACGGGUGAGUAACACGUGAGUAACCUGCCCUUGACUUUGGGAUAACUUCAGGAAACUGGGGCUAAUACCGGAUAGGAGCUCCUGCAGCAUGGUGGGGGUUGGAAAGUUUCGGCGGUUGGGGAUGGACUCGCGGCUUAUCAGCUUGUUGGUGGGGUAGUGGCUUACCAAGGCUUUGACGGGUAGCCGGCCUGCGAGGGUGACCGGCCACAUUGGGGCUGAGACACGGCCCAGACUCCUACGGGAGGCAGCAGUGGGGAAUAUUGCACAAUGGGCGGAAGCCUGAUGCAGCAACGCCGCGUGCGGGAUGACGGCCUUCGGGUUGUAAACCGCUUUCGCCUGUGACGAAGCGUGAGUGACGGUAAUGGGUAAAGAAGCACCGGCUAACUACGUG